CAAUAGCGUAUAUUAAAGUUGUUGCAGUUAGAACGCUCGUAGUCGGAUUUCGGGGCGGGCCGACCGGUCUGCCGAUGGGUACGCACUGGUCGGCGCGUCCUUCCUUCCGGAGACCGUGCCUACUCUUAACUGAGCGGGGGCGGGAGACGGAUCGUUUACUUUGAAAAAAUCAGAGUGUUUCAAGCAGGCAGCUCGCUCUUGCAUGGAUUAGCAUGGGAUAGUGAAAUAGGACUUUGGUGCUAUUUUGUUGGUUUCGAACACCGAAGUAAUGAUUAACAGGGACAGUCAGGGGCACUCGUAUUCCGCCGAGAGAGGUGAAAUUCUCAGACCAGCGGAAGACGAACUACUGCGAAAGCAUUUGCCAGGGAUGUUUUCACUGA
RNAcentral lists this ribosomal RNA (380 nucleotides) under uncultured eukaryote. RNAcentral's name for it is "partial 18S ribosomal RNA". It matches the Rfam family "Eukaryotic small subunit ribosomal RNA", at positions 592 to 976 of the family's 1831-position model. The record is from RNAcentral.